This 228-nucleotide ribosomal RNA is filed under the name Triticum aestivum (bread wheat). RNAcentral's name for it is "partial small subunit ribosomal RNA". The record is from RNAcentral. Lineage: Eukaryota; Viridiplantae; Streptophyta; Magnoliopsida; Poales; Poaceae.
AUGUCAGGAUUGAAAAUCAAUUUUGACAAAAGUGAGAUUUUUACUAUUGGAGGGGAUAACGAGAUUGACUUAGUAUAUGCGGACAUGUUUAAUUGUCAAGUGGGCACCCUGCCCAUGAGAUAUUUGGGUGUCCCUGUUACAUAUUCUACUCUUAAGAACGUAGAAUUGGAUUUCCUGGAAGGUAAGAUGAUUAAAAAAUUGGAUGCUUGGAUUGCUUAUGCAGCAUGA